This 71-nucleotide transfer RNA is filed under the name Stigeoclonium helveticum. Its description in RNAcentral is "tRNA-Trp". It matches the Rfam family "tRNA". From Rfam's summary of the family: Transfer RNA (tRNA) molecules are approximately 80 nucleotides in length. Their secondary structure includes four short double-helical elements and three loops (D, anti-codon, and T loops). The record is from RNAcentral. Lineage: Eukaryota; Viridiplantae; Chlorophyta; Chlorophyceae; Chaetophorales; Chaetophoraceae.
GGGAGAAUAGUUCAAAGGUAGAAUAAACGUUUCCAAAACGUUUGAUGGAGGUUCGAAUCCUUCUUUUCCUG